Molecule: ribosomal RNA, 1227 nt
Filed under: Pediastrum duplex
Lineage: Eukaryota; Viridiplantae; Chlorophyta; Chlorophyceae; Sphaeropleales; Hydrodictyaceae
Also listed under: 1 other name
Description: partial large subunit ribosomal RNA
Rfam family: Bacterial large subunit ribosomal RNA
Source: RNAcentral
UAAACCGUUCUACAAACCAACUCAGGUGGGUUGGCUUUAGUAAGCUAAGGUAUACACGGAAUUCUGGGAAAGGAACUCGGCAAAUUGCUAGCGUGACUUCGGAGGUAGCUAGUCCUAUUUUUAUAAUAGGAACCAUAAAAUCGUGGGCGGCAACUGUCUAUUAACAACACAGGACUUUGCGAAGUUUUAACUAUGUAUAAAGUCUGACGCCUGCCCGGCACAAGGGGAUAACCCAUGGUUGUAUACGCAACUAUGGAAAAGUACUUGUAAACGGCAGCCAUAACUCUGAUGGUUCUAAGGUAGCGAAAUUCCUUGGCCUGUAAUUGAGGUCCUGCAUGAAUGGCGUAAUGACUGCCCUGCUGUCUCUCCCAGAAUGUGGGUGAAUUUGAAAUUCUCGUGAAGAUGCGAGAGUCCUAAUGCGGCACAAUGAGACCCUGUGCACCUUUACUCUAAGCAAUUAGUUUAUUUUUAUAUAUAAUUUUUCAGUUUAGGUGGUAUAUUUGUAUAUGUCUAUUUUUAGAGAUAUACAAAUAGUAAGUGAGAGACCACCAUUUUAUAAAUAAAAAUUUAUAGUCUAUUUUAUUAUAUAGAUUUGUAUUGUUGCUUGGGAGUUUGCUUGGGGCGAGAUCCUCCAAAAAAGUAUCGGGGGAGUGCCAUGGUUCGUUUAUACUUUUAUAAGGUAUAAUAAAUUAUAACCAAUUAAGCGAGCCUGACUGCAAGGUAUACAAACCGAGCAGACACGUAAGUGUGUGGUAGUGAACCUGUAAAAAUAUGUGGAAAGUUUACAGAUCAACGGAUUAAAGGUACGCCAGGGAUAACAGGCUUAUUCUCUUCAAGAGUCCAUAUCAACGAGAGAGUUUGGCACCUCGAUGUCGGCUUACCGCGUCCUCUUUCUGCAGAAGGAAAGAAGGGUUAGACUGUUCGUCUAUUAAAGCGGCACGUGAGCUGGGUUUAUUCCGUCGUGAGACAGGAAGGUUCUUAUGUGCAUUAGGUAUUCUUUAGACAUGCAUAUACACCCUUUAGUACGAAAGGACCUGGGGGUGCACACCUCUGAUCUACCAGUUGUUUAACAGAAAGCACCGCUGGGCAGUUAAGUGUGUAGGUAGAAUAGCUGACAGCAUCUGAAGCUAGAAAACCAUAUGUAAAAAGUCUAUCAAUUUCGUUAUAGACUAUAACGUGAAUCGGUGCUUUGUAUAUAUAUGUAAAUAUUGGCAAGAGCAUACGAAA